GGAAGGUCAAGCCGAAAGCUGGCGACGGCAACUGUCUUGAAAACAGACGAGGUGUAACAGCCCUUGUGGGUUCGACCCCCACACCUUCCG
RNAcentral lists this transfer RNA (90 nucleotides) under Clostridiales bacterium. RNAcentral describes it as "tRNA-Ser". It matches the Rfam family "tRNA". From Rfam's summary of the family: Transfer RNA (tRNA) molecules are approximately 80 nucleotides in length. Lineage: Bacteria; Bacillati; Bacillota; Clostridia; Eubacteriales. The record is from RNAcentral.